Molecule: transfer RNA, 71 nt
Filed under: Camelus dromedarius (Arabian camel)
Lineage: Eukaryota; Metazoa; Chordata; Mammalia; Artiodactyla; Camelidae
Also listed under: 1 other name
Rfam family: tRNA
About the family: Transfer RNA (tRNA) molecules are approximately 80 nucleotides in length.
Source: Rfam by way of RNAcentral
GAGGGUCUAGCUCAGUGACAGAGCGCGUGCUUAGCGUGCACGAGGUCCUGGGUUCGAUCCGCAGUCCCUCC